UCGACGAUAGCUCAAUGGUGGAGCAUUCGGCUGUUAACCGAAGGGUUGCAGGUUCAAAUCCUGCUCGUCGAGCCA
Molecule: transfer RNA, 75 nt
Filed under: Bacteroidota bacterium
Lineage: Bacteria; Pseudomonadati; Bacteroidota
Also listed under: 2 other names
Description: Bacteroidetes bacterium (activated sludge metagenome) tRNA-Asn
Rfam family: tRNA
About the family: Transfer RNA (tRNA) molecules are approximately 80 nucleotides in length. Their secondary structure includes four short double-helical elements and three loops (D, anti-codon, and T loops).
Source: RNAcentral